AGUUAAAACUUUCAACAACGGAUCUCUUGGUUCUGGCAUCGAUGAAGAACGCAGCGAAAUGCGAUAAGUAAUGUGAAUUGCAGAAUUCAGUGAAUCAUCGAAUCUUUGAACGCACAUUGCGCCCGGCAGUAAUCUGCCGGGCAUGCCUGUCCGAGC
This 156-nucleotide ribosomal RNA is filed under the name Scedosporium boydii. Its description in RNAcentral is "5.8S ribosomal RNA". It matches the Rfam family "5.8S ribosomal RNA". Rfam says of the family: 5.8S ribosomal RNA (5.8S rRNA) is a component of the large subunit of the eukaryotic ribosome. It is transcribed by RNA polymerase I as part of the 45S precursor that also contains 18S and 28S rRNA. Functionally, it is thought that 5.8S rRNA may be involved in ribosome translocation. The record is from RNAcentral. Lineage: Eukaryota; Fungi; Ascomycota; Sordariomycetes; Microascales; Microascaceae.